Molecule: ribosomal RNA, 253 nt
Filed under: uncultured bacterium
Lineage: Bacteria
Description: partial 16S ribosomal RNA
Rfam family: Bacterial small subunit ribosomal RNA
Source: RNAcentral
UACGGAGGGUGCAAGCAUUGAUCGGAAUUACUGGGCGUAAAGGGCGCGUAGGCGGUUAGGUAAGUCAGAUGUGAAAUUCCGGGGCUCAACCCCGGAGCUGCAUUUGAAACUACCUAGCUAGAGUUCAGUUAGGGUAAACGGAAUUCCACGUGUAGCGGUGAAAUGCGUAGAUAUCAGGAGGAAUACCGAUGGCGAAGGCAGGUCUCUGGGCUGACACUGACGCUCAUGCACGAAAGCGUGGGGAGCAAACAGG